Molecule: long non-coding RNA, 1231 nt
Filed under: Oryctolagus cuniculus (rabbit)
Lineage: Eukaryota; Metazoa; Chordata; Mammalia; Lagomorpha; Leporidae
Description: lncRNA (ENSOCUG00000036736.1)
Source: RNAcentral
CCCCUAAUACUUUGUGAAGAUGCACCUUGAAGUGUUAUAAAUAAAGAACUGCAGGUAAUAUAGCUUGACUUUCAGAGCAAAAUUGUGAUGCUAUUCAUCUUCUAAUACAUUUUCCCAGAAAUUUUACCAAGAAAUGGAGCUAGAGAAUAAUCUUAGAGCUCUUACAUACCAUUUGAUUCAGUCAAUAGAAAGAAUGAAAGUAUGUAAACAAGAAGCAAAUAGAGAAAAAAAGAAGAAAAAAUGUAAAAGUAAGGAAAUGCUUUAAUGAAACACUAAAAUAAUUUUAACUAACUAUACAGUGGAAAUAAUGGUUAACCAAUCAUAAGUGAUUCAGUUAUGGAUAAGAUUCCCCUUAUUACAAUUAAGUUAUAUUUAGCUUAAUUUAACUGUAUUUCAAUUUAGAUGUUUUAUGUUCAUCAACAGGAGUGAGGACAGGUCAGAUGAUGAAAAUGCAACAUUCUGUACAUCUUAAAAAAAAAAAGUAGUUUCCCUGGUUUCCUAUCCCCAAAUUUAUGGCUAAUUUAAAACAGAAUAAUACAUGCCCUAAGUAACAAUAAGUGGAAGGAACAUGGACUGAAUUCAUGCAGUGAGACAGAUUUUUCCAUGGUGUAGAAUUAGUGUACAACUAACAUUCCAUGAUUUUCAAGAAAAAUAUUUUAUUUUAGUGAAUUUACCUAAAAAUGUUAAUGAAUAACGAAAAUAUGCCAAUAUCCUAUUCUUGAUGGUAGAGAACAGUGGAGAAUAUAGUAGAUAUAAUUCCUACUACCUUAAAAUGUGUGUUUUGAUGGCAAUUACAGUCUGACCUAAGCUUAUAUAUAAGUAACUGCUAUUAAACAGGAAAAUCCAUUGCCACAUUAGAAAAAAGUUUGUAUAUUUUGAUGCAUGCACAGUAUGUUGUAAAGUCACAGGAAUCUCCAAGGAUCUUCAGAUAUUUUGUGGAAACCCAUUCAUCUGAAGGGUCUUCAAAAAAUUCACAAAAAUGUGUAUUAUGAAAAAAAGUUUGGAUUUAAUUUUUUGCACCAAAAUUAGCCUAUAUUUUAAUUUCACUUUUCCAUGAAAAUGUAGUUUCAGAUAGAAACCGAGUUGUAGACAGAAAUGUUUCACAUCUGAUAGAUAAAUCCCUUGUCAAAUGAACUUAUGAAUGAAUAUCCUGAAAUACGUUUCCUGGAAGAGAUCAUGACAUUUCUAGUUUAAUAAUAAAUGAUUGUUUUUUCAUGGUAAUAUUUUUGUU